RNAcentral lists this ribosomal RNA (504 nucleotides) under uncultured bacterium. Its description in RNAcentral is "partial 16S ribosomal RNA". It matches the Rfam family "Bacterial small subunit ribosomal RNA", at positions 28 to 506 of the family's 1533-position model. The record is from RNAcentral.
GACGAACGCUGGCGGCGUGCCUAAUACAUGCAAGUCGAACGCACAGUUUAUACUGUAGCUUGUUACACGAUAGACGGUGAGGUGUGAACGGGGGAGUAACGCGUAGGUUACCUGCCUGGUAGCGGGGGAUAACUAGUGGAAACGAUAGCUAAUACCGCAUAAUAUUAAUUGUUGCAUGAUAAUUAAUGGAAAGGGGGAAUUGCACCACUACCAGAUGGACCUGCGUUGUAUUAGCUAGUAGGUGAGGUAACGGCUUACCUAGGCGAUGAUACAUAGCCGAACUGAGAGGGUGAUCGGCCACACGGGAACUGAGACACGGCCCAGACUCCUACGGGAGGCAGCAGUAGGGAAUCUUCGGCAAUGGACGAAAGUCUGACCGAGCAACGCCGCGUGAGUGAAGAAGGUUUUCGGAUCGUAAAGCUCUGUUGUAAGGGAAGAACGGGUGUGAGAGUGGAAGGUGCACACUGGGACGUAAUCUUACCAGAAGCGGACGGCAACUUACGG